Molecule: ribosomal RNA, 309 nt
Filed under: uncultured eukaryote
Lineage: Eukaryota
Description: partial large subunit ribosomal RNA
Rfam family: Eukaryotic large subunit ribosomal RNA
Source: RNAcentral
AUAUAACUAAGCGGAGGAAAAGAAACUAACUAGGAUUCCCCCAGUAACGGCGAGUGAAGCGGGAAGAGCUCAGGUUUGGAAUCUCUAACGAGAGUUGUAACCUGUAGAUGUGAUAAUCGGUUGGUGGUGUGCGUUGUUCAAGUGCUCUGGAACGAGCUGCCUGAGAGGGUGAUAGCCCCGUACAGCGACGUGCAUUUGCCCGAUAAGAUUUCAUAUCGACGAGUCGAGUUGCUUGGGACUGCAGCUCAAAGUGGGUGGUAAAUUCCAUCUAAAGCUAAAUACCGGUGGGAGACCGAUAGCGCACAAGUA